AUUUCAUGGAGAGUUUGAUCCUGGCUCAGGACGAACGCUGGCGGCGUGCCUAAUACAUGCAAGUCGAGCGGAUCUUGUCCUUCGGGACAAGGUUAGCGGCGGACGGGUGAGUAACACGUGGGUAACCUGCCCAUAAGACUGGGAUAACAUUCGGAAACGAAUGCUAAUACCGGAUACGCGAAUUGGUCGCAUGGCCGAAUCGGGAAAGGCGGAGCAAUC
RNAcentral lists this ribosomal RNA (219 nucleotides) under Paenibacillus catalpae. RNAcentral describes it as "partial 16S rRNA. Bacterial SSU". It matches the Rfam family "Bacterial small subunit ribosomal RNA", at positions 1 to 214 of the family's 1533-position model. Lineage: Bacteria; Bacillati; Bacillota; Bacilli; Caryophanales; Paenibacillaceae. The record is from RNAcentral.